This 64-nucleotide microRNA precursor is filed under the name Monopterus albus (swamp eel). Its description in RNAcentral is "Mal-Mir-27-P4a_pre stem-loop". It matches the Rfam family "mir-27 microRNA precursor family", at positions 11 to 72 of the family's 80-position model. Lineage: Eukaryota; Metazoa; Chordata; Actinopteri; Synbranchiformes; Synbranchidae. The record is from RNAcentral.
AGAGCUUAGCUGAUUGGUGAGCACUGAUCCCUGCUAUGUGUUGUUCACAGUGGCUAAGUUCAGU